GAAAUGCGAUAAGUAAUGUGAAUUGCAGAAUUCAGUGAAUCAUCGAAUCUUUGAACGCACAUUGCGCCCGCCAGUAUUCUGGCGGGCAUGCCUGUCCGAGCGUCAUUUCAACCAUCAAGCACCCGGGCUUGUGUUGGGGACCUGCGGCUGCCCGCAGGCCCUGAAAACCAGUGGCGGGCUCGCUGUCACACCGAGCGUAGUAGCAAUCACCUCGCUCAGGGCGUGCUGCGGGUUCCGGCCGUUAAACAGCCUUACAAAACCCAAGGUUGACCUCGGAUCAGGUAGGAAGACCCGCUGAACUUAAGC
Molecule: unclassified non-coding RNA, 306 nt
Filed under: plant metagenome
Description: partial contains 5.8S ribosomal RNA, internal transcribed spacer 2, and large subunit ribosomal RNA
Rfam family: 5.8S ribosomal RNA (bases 1-105)
Source: RNAcentral